RNAcentral lists this ribosomal RNA (492 nucleotides) under uncultured bacterium. RNAcentral describes it as "partial 16S ribosomal RNA". It matches the Rfam family "Bacterial small subunit ribosomal RNA", at positions 29 to 507 of the family's 1533-position model. The record is from RNAcentral.
AGUGAACGCUGGCGGUAGGCCUAACACAUGCAAGUCGAACGGCAGCACAGUAAGAGCUUGCUCUUACGGGUGGCGAGUGGCGGACGGGUGAGGAAUACAUCGGAAUCUACUUUUUCGUGGGGGAUAACGUAGGGAAACUUACGCUAAUACCGCAUACGACCUACGGGUGAAAGCAGGGGAUCUUCGGACCUUGCGCGAUUGAAUGAGCCGAUGUCGGAUUAGCUAGUUGGCGGGGUAAAGGCCCACCAAGGCGACGAUCCGUAGCUGGUCUGAGAGGAUGACGAGCGACACUGGGACUGAGACACGGUCCAGACACCUACGGGAGGCAGCGGUGGGGAAUAUUGGACGAUGGGCGGAAGCCUGAUCCAGCCAUGCCGGGUGGGUGAAGAAGGCCUUCGGGUUGUAAAGCCCUUUUGUUGUGGAAGAAAAGUAGCAGGUUAAAACCCGGUUGUUCUGACGGUACCCAAAGAAUAAGCACCGGCUAACUUCGUG